GCCUCGAACCAGCUCGUCCCACCUCCUCCUCUUCCUCUCUCGAUCUCCUCUGCCUCGCACGCCGCCACCGCUCGCCCUCGCGCCGCCGCCUCCGUUCGCCCUCCUCUGCCUCGCACACCGCCACCGCUCGCCCUCGCGCCGCCGCCGUCUCCGUUGCCCAACCUGCUGGAUCCCCACCAUCCACUUCUCCGGCGUCGUCGCCUCGUCAUCGCGUGCACGCGGCAGGAGGAGCGAGGGAGACGUGGAGCCGCCGCUAGGAACGCCACCGUCGUCCUCGCGUGCACACGGCAGGAGGAGCGGGGGAGGCGUGGAGCCGCUGCUGGGAACGCCGGAUGCGAUUAUCUGCAGGUCGGUCAGCCCUGCCAGCCUCAUGUACCUAGCACGAGAUGAAAGAGGGAUUUAGAGAAGGGAGGGAGCAGGAGGAGAAGAGGAAGAAGAACCCUACCACCCCCAUGCCCGCCCAGUGCUUCGUGCGGCUCUGCACCCCAACCAUUCCACCUCCAUGCCCCUCCAAUUUCUCUAUCCCUUUUUUGCAGAAUAGGGAUUGAGAAUUGGUCAAUAUACUGAACGGAUACAUUCACUGGAAAGGAGGGGCUGCUGAUGUUGUGGGCUUGAUUGCCUUUUAAUUGUUGAUCCCAAAAUCCUGCCCCGACACGAGCCACCGCCGUUCGUCCGGAGAAGCGCGGGAAGAAGAAGAUGGAUGUGUUGAGACCUUGAUGGGAUGGAGAGACGUUUCCUUUCAAAAAUUACCGCUAGAAAUAGUAGAGAGAAAGCUCAAGCACGGAAACGAGCAGUUAAUUCUAUUUGCCAGGGUUCUGCUGCUGAUAUUAUCAAGGUGGCUAUGCUUAACAGUCAUUCUGUAAUUACCAAUGGGAGUAACACACUUGAUUCUAUGGAUGGGCUAACGCAGAACUUUUAACAAAUCAGAGGGCGUUGUCACCUUCUUUUGCAAGUAUUUUACGACAUGGUGCAUGAUGAAUUUGUGCUUGAAGUUGACCCGUCUAGGGUAGCAGAGGCUGUAAGGAAUCCCCGGGCCAUCCAGUGCGUGCCAUCAGUUUGACCCAGGAGCGGCGCGGCAGAGGCGUUGGGCAAGGAGCACUCGCCGGAGGCGCUUGAUGCGGCUCCUCCGUCUAUGUCCAUUGCAGGAGACGAUGAUGUCGUGUUGGGCUCGGACCUUGCUGACCGCCAUCUUGGCCUGCAAGAGGAUGCUCCCCUGCUCCGACUUGCUCAGCACAUGGUUAUUGAAAAUUCUGGUUUCCUGUAACUAUCAGGUGGUCUGAUGCAGGUUCAUGAGGUUAUUGUCAACAGAAGCAGUUCAUAGAUAGGGAUUAGAGGAAGCAACUUAAAAAUGGGGACAAUGUUGUUACUGUUUCUUUUCCUUAUAUUUGCGGGGAUGCCAGGGCUGACUGCCUUGUGCGUACCAUGGCGAGGAGUAGCAAUAUGCCAUAUUUGCUCCCUCUAGCGAGCACCACGGAGGAGGUGAGGGGCCAAUAGGGAGUAAAUAAAACAUUUGAUGAGUGCUGCAUGCCCGCGCACGUUGUCGGAGAGGUCAGAUCACUGUAGUUUUGUGGUACCACAAAAAUCGUUUUAUUUUCCUUAAUUGUAACUCUAAAUUAUGUCCAGAUCACCCAUGUCUAUUUUCCUUCAUGGAUAGUGUAUUCUCAUUUUUCAACUAGACAAAUUUUAUCCUUUGAAUUACUGCAAUACAUUAAGUUGGCACGAACAAUUCUAUUUAAAGAUAUACUAUCCGAGGCGUGAAAAAGAAGAUGGCGUAGGUUGAUGGUCUAGCUAUUUUAUAAUCCCUUUUAUUGAGAUCAGAUGAAGUUUAGUCUGGUCUUGCUCUGAAUUUCUCUGCAUUGUUUGGUAUCCAAAUUAGCGUUAGGUUUCAGAUAGCAGAGUAAUUGAUGAGCGGCACACAUGAUCAUAAUGAGCGGCACACAUGAGCACAUACGGUUCUUUGAGCAAACACACACACACACACACACACACACACACAAACACAGACAUACAUGAACAAAUGAGAAAUGAGUGAUUCUAACAUGAGAAGAUGAGGGAUGACAUAUGCCUACUCGUCAUGAAGCAUAUCAGCAUGUGGAUUAAUAAUAGAAGGGGAAGGAAACUUGCUUCUCUGCGUUUUUAUUAUAGUUUAAAAGGGCAAAUUGUCGACAUUCUAAAUGUUAGGAAAGGAACCUACAGAGUCCAUGUGUAAGUAUGUGAUU
Molecule: long non-coding RNA, 2219 nt
Organism: Triticum dicoccoides
Lineage: Eukaryota; Viridiplantae; Streptophyta; Magnoliopsida; Poales; Poaceae
Exons: 11
Source: RefSeq, a predicted model, not a curated record